RNAcentral lists this ribosomal RNA (461 nucleotides) under uncultured bacterium. Its description in RNAcentral is "partial 16S ribosomal RNA". It matches the Rfam family "Bacterial small subunit ribosomal RNA", at positions 355 to 827 of the family's 1533-position model. The record is from RNAcentral.
UGGGGAAUAUUGCACAAUGGGCGAAAGCCUGAUGCAGCGACGCCGCGUGAGGGAUGACGGCCUUCGGGUUGUAAACCUCUUUCAGCAGGGAAGAAGCGAAAGUGACGGUACCUGCAGAAGAAGCGCCGGCUAACUACGUGCCAGCAGCCGCGGUAAUACGUAGGGCGCAAGCGUUGUCCGGAAUUAUUGGGCGUAAAGAGCUCGUAGGCGGUUAGUCGCGUCUGCUGUGAAAACUCGAGGCUCAACCUCGGGCUUGCAGUGGGUACGGGCUGACUAGAGUGCGGUAGGGGUGACUGGAAUUCCUGGUGUAGCGGUGGAAUGCGCAGAUAUCAGGAGGAACACCGAUGGCGAAGGCAGGUCACUGGGCCGCAACUGACGCUGAGGAGCGAAAGCAUGGGGAGCGAACAGGAUUAGAUAGCCCUGGUAGUCCAUGCCGUAAACGUUGGGCACUAGGUGUGGGG